AUUGUACCCGCUGAACUUAAGCAUAUCAAUAAGCGGAGGAAAAGAAACCAACAGGGAUUACCUCAGUAACGGCGAGUGAAGCGGUAACAGCUCAAAUUUGAAAUCUGGCUCUUUCGGGGUCCGAGUUGUAAUUUGUAGAAGAUGCUUUGGACGUGGCUCCGGUCUAAGUUCCUUGGAACAGGACGUCAUAGAGGGUGAGAAUUCCGUACGUGACUGGGUUGCCUCGUCCGUGUAAAGCUCUUUCGACGAGUCGAGUUGUUUGGGAAUGCAGCUCAAAAUGGGUGGUAAAUUUCAUCUAAAGCUAAAUAUUGGCCAGAGACCGAUAGCGCACAAGUAGAGUGAUCGAAAGAUGAAAAGCACUUUGGAAAGAGAGUUAAACAGUACGUGAAAUUGUUGAAAGGGAAGCGCUUGCAAUCAGACUUGCGUAUGGUUGAUCAUCCGGGCUUCUGCCCGGUGCACUCGAUCGUACUCAGGCCAGCAUCGGUUUGGGCGGUUGGAUAAAGGCCUUGGGAAUGUGGCUCCUCUCGGGGAGUGUUAUAGCCCUCGGUGCAAUGCAGCCUGUCCGGACCGAGGACCGCGCUUCGGCUAGGAUGCUGGCGUAAUGGUUGUAAGCGACCCGUCUUGAAACACGGACCAAGGAGUCUAACAUCUAUGCGAGUGUUUGGGUGUCAAACCCAUGCGCGUAAUGAAAGUGAACGGAGGUGAGAACCCUUAAGGGUGCAUCAUCGACCGAUCCUGAUGUCUUCGGAUGGAUUUGAGUAAGAGCAUAGCUGUUGGGACCCGAAAGAUGGUGAACUAUGCCUGAAUAGGGUGAAGCCAGAGGAAACUCUGGUGGAGGCUCGCAGCGGUUCUGACGUGCAAAUCGAUCGUCAAAUUUGGGUAUAGGGGCGAAAGACUAAUCGAACCAUCUAGUAGCUGGUUCCUGCCGAAGUUUCCCUCAGGAUAAUC
Molecule: ribosomal RNA, 948 nt
Filed under: uncultured Ascomycota
Lineage: Eukaryota; Fungi; Ascomycota
Description: eukaryotic LSU rRNA
Rfam family: Eukaryotic large subunit ribosomal RNA
Source: RNAcentral